CCUACGGGGGGCAGCAGUGGGGAAUAUUGCACAAUGGGGGAAACCCUGAUGCAGCGACGCCGCGUGAGUGAAGAAGUAUUUCGGUAUGUAAAGCUCUAUCAGCAGGGAAGAAGAAAGACGGUACCUGUCUAAGAAGCACCGGCUAACUACGUGCCAGCAGCAGCGGCAAUACGUAUGGGGCAAGCGUUAUCCGGAUUUACGGGGUGUAAAGGGAGCGUAGACGGCUGUGCAAGUCUGAAGUGAAAGCCCAGGGCUCAACCCUGGGACUGCUUUGGAAACUGUGGAGCUAGAGUGCUGGAGAGGUAAGUGGAAUUCCUAGUGUAGCGGUGAAAUGCGUAGAUAUUAGGAGGAACACCAGUGGCGAAGGCGACUUACUGGACAGUAACUGACGUUGAGGCUCGAAAGCGUGGGGAGCAAACAGGAUUAGAUACCCUGGUAGUC
Molecule: ribosomal RNA, 441 nt
Filed under: uncultured bacterium
Lineage: Bacteria
Description: partial 16S ribosomal RNA
Rfam family: Bacterial small subunit ribosomal RNA
Source: RNAcentral